UAGAUAUUGGCCUGGGAACUCCUUUUAGAGGCUCAGCUAUAGAAGGUGGUACUACUCUGUCUUUUAUCUUUCAGAAGAAUAAGUGAUGUCAGCAUGAGGUUCACACUGAGACAGUGGACACUUUCCACCUUCAGGCAGAGGUGGUGUGUAAAGCACUCUUAAUUGAAUUGCGAUGGACCAAUGUCAAAUUUCAGCCUUUAUUCGUAGGUGGAGUGGGAAGAAAAAGAAAAGACAUAUUCAGUAUCUGCAUCCCUUUACCUCGCUGAAUUCCUGCAAUGGCCCACAAAGGUACAUGAAGAGGGGAAAAAACCCAACUUUGGCUUCUCCAGGUGGGUUCAAUUUGGAUAAUAUAUUUGCACAGAAGUGUAGACGGGAGCCUCCUCUGGGAGGCUGGCCAUUUUCACUGUGGAUUCCCAGGUAAUCCCCCCAGAGCAGGAUCUGGAUCAGUUGUCCUACUAAGUAUAAGGCACAUUGCCAAGGCAUGGCCUGGUCCCUUAGGCUGAGAGACAGAGAGUAGGGCCAGUUCAUGGCAGAAAGGGUCUGGCAUAUGUCCUGCCUUUUUUUGCUCUGUGGCCUUGGGCAGGUCUCUUUGCCUCUGUAGGCCUCACUGCCCUCACUUCUAGAGUAGGAGUGAUCAUUUUGCCUCUUGGCUGGUUGCAAGGCCCAGAAGCAGGUUGAGAAUGGUAGCGUGCUAUGCGAAUGUGAAGUGUCAGUUGCAGACUAUCUUGCUGGCCUCUUGAGAAGACUUGACAUAAGCAGGUGAGAAGUGCAGUGGGAAAAGUGAGAGCCCUCUGAUGCUCAAGGAGAACAGUGCUCCAGGGGCCCCUAGGGAGAAUAGUUAAGCAGCAGGAUGGAGAGAUUGAGAGGAGGUUGGAGGGCUGGGUGAGGCCUGAGGACUGAAGCCUCCGGGGGGCCAGAGGAAGGCAGCUGAGACUUUCAGGGACACAAAGGACUUUCUCCAUUUCUCCACCACACAGGGACCUGUCUCCCUGGGGCUGCUUUGCUUGAUUUGGUGUGCUGUUAACCUUUGCUCAGCCCCAGGCUGUGUUUAACUUGGGGCCAUGGGCAGGGGGAGAAGGUCACAACAAAUUUAGUGGGAGGCAUUUUAAGUACCUAAAGCAAUAAAUCCUCAUGUACCUCGAGCCUGCCCAGGCUUCCCCAAACCUGGGAAUUCAAUUUUGUGCAGCGCACACAGUUUGCCAAGCACGCUAAGUCAUCAGGAGAACAACUUGAUGUAUUGCUGUGGGGAAAAAAAUUGCCGUGUCCCUUUCUUCAUUCAAAUUAACACCUUUUCAUACUGGGCUGACAGGUGACUGAUCACCUGAGAAUACAUCCUGGCUUCAAGUGAUUUGAUAACUCUUCCUUCUCUGUUUCCCUGUCUUUAUUUUCAUGCCUUAAAAAGUCAGGAGAAAACAUUAUUAUUAUUAUUGCUAGAGAAUCACUACCUGAUUCAUAAGCCCUAAGCCCUGGGGCCUGGCAUAUGGUAGGCAUGAAUAAAUGAUGAACGAAUAAAUGACUAGAUUUGGUUGAUGUCUGCAGAUUGCCCUUUUUCCUUCCCAGAGGAUCAGAGGAAGCUUUUGCUUUGUUUUGUUUUUUUGACAUUUUUUUUUUUCUUUGCAUGGUGGACACUGUGUGAGGUCAAUGUGUGCACUGCUCAGAUGCCCGUCUGAGGAGGUAGAGGACUUGGCCCAGCUGCUGGGAGUGCUGGUGGCCCCUGGAGUGACUGAGUUGUAGAGAGUCGUCUUGCCCAAGGUGAGGCCUUCCUGGGGUGACCCAAAUUCAGCAAUUGAUCCACAUGGGGUUA
Molecule: long non-coding RNA, 1804 nt
Filed under: Canis lupus familiaris (dog)
Lineage: Eukaryota; Metazoa; Chordata; Mammalia; Carnivora; Canidae
Description: lncRNA (ENSCAFG00000055612.1, ENSCAFG00845002668.1)
Source: RNAcentral